CUGCAGUUUCCACUGCAAAUGCAAGAAGAAAGUCCUGGCGCUUUCUGUCUGUCUGGUUGUGGCAGCCAAGAUUGAAUGGGGGAAGAGAGGA
This is a small nucleolar RNA of Dasypus novemcinctus (nine-banded armadillo), 91 nucleotides long. The record is from Ensembl. Lineage: Eukaryota; Metazoa; Chordata; Mammalia; Cingulata; Dasypodidae.